UCCUUUUCUUUUCCAUGUCACAGAGAUGUUGUGUAGGUCAUUUCAAAUCGUUUCUCUGCUCAGAAAUUAAUAGUCAGGAAGCAUCAACAUCUUUGUGAUAUGGAAAAGAAGGUGAAGGAG
Molecule: microRNA precursor, 120 nt
Filed under: Gossypium raimondii (Peruvian cotton)
Lineage: Eukaryota; Viridiplantae; Streptophyta; Magnoliopsida; Malvales; Malvaceae
Description: miR8768 stem-loop (gra-MIR8768)
Source: miRBase by way of RNAcentral